CAGCACCUCAAGUGGUCAGGAUGAUUAUUGGGCCUAAAGCAUCCGUAGCCGGCUCUGUAAGUUUUCGGUUAAAUCUGUACGCUUAACGUACAGGCUGCCGGGAAUACUGCAGAGCUAGGGAGUGGGAGAGGUAGACGGUACUCGGUAGGAAGGGGUAAAAUCCUUCGAUCUAUUGAUGACCACCUGUGGCGAAGGCGGUCUACCAGAACACGUCCGACGGUGAGGGAUGAAAGCUGGGGGAGCAAACCGGAUUAGAUACCCGCGUAGUCC
RNAcentral lists this ribosomal RNA (270 nucleotides) under uncultured archaeon. RNAcentral describes it as "partial 16S ribosomal RNA". It matches the Rfam family "Archaeal small subunit ribosomal RNA", at positions 477 to 747 of the family's 1478-position model. The record is from RNAcentral.